GAUGAACGCUGGCGGCGUGCCUAAUACAUGCCAGUCGAGCGAACGGACGAGAAGCUUGCUUCUCUGAUGUUAGCGGCGGACGGGUGAGUAACACGUGGAUAACCUACCUAUAAGACUGGGAUAACUUCGGGAAACCGAAGCUAAUACCGGAUGAUAUUUUGAACCGCAUGGUUCAAAAGUGAAAGACGGUCUUGCUGUCACUUAUAGAUGGAUCCGCGCUGCAUUAGCUAGUUGGUAAGGUAACGGCUUACCAAGGCAACGAUGCAUAGCCGACCUGAGAGGGUGAUCGGCCACACUGGAACUGAGACACGGUCCAGACUCCUACGGGAGGCAGCAGUAGGGAAUCUUCCGCAAUGGGCGAAAGCCUGACGGAGCAACGCCGCGUGAGUGAUGAAGGUCUUCGGAUCGUAAAACUCUGUUAUUAGGGAAGAACAUAUGUGUAAGUAACUGUGCACAUCUUGACGGUACCUAAUCAGAAAGCCACGGCUAACUACGUG
Molecule: ribosomal RNA, 497 nt
Filed under: uncultured bacterium
Lineage: Bacteria
Description: partial 16S ribosomal RNA
Rfam family: Bacterial small subunit ribosomal RNA
Source: RNAcentral